This is a long non-coding RNA of Talpa occidentalis (Iberian mole), 537 nucleotides long. RefSeq lists it as uncharacterized. The record is from RefSeq and is a predicted model, not a curated record. The transcript is spliced from 3 exons. Lineage: Eukaryota; Metazoa; Chordata; Mammalia; Eulipotyphla; Talpidae.
UUCCUGAUAAGGUCAGCUCUAUUCUUUAAGAUUAUUAAGUACUAUCCCAAGUGUUUCCUUAUUUGUGGAUAAAUUGUACUGAAUAGAUUCUACCCAAUGUUGGCAUGAAGCUGGAUUAUGGAGCCUGGAAACCUCUCCAUUGAAGAGUCCAUAAGGAUCCCAUAAGAGUGGUUGAGACUUGGACUGACCAAGAGAAGGGUAGUGUCCUAAGAAAAAGUGUGCAGGUGGAAAUUCUACAAAUGUUCUACAAAUAUUAGGUAGGGAGGAGACAGUCUGUCAUGGGGAACUGUUAAUAUGAAGAACAUAUUGUUAAUAUGAAGAAUUUAAAGACUACUAAAAAAUGUGAGUUCAGAGAGUUCCCCAGAUUUCCUGAUUUGGGAAAGAACAGGAUUCCUAACCUCUGAUUUUCUGAGUAGAUUUGCCUUAAUAGAAGACAACUGAUUUCUCAUGUUUGCUUCUGGAUUCAAUCUAUUGAGAUUUAAGAAGUCAUGAGGCUCUUGGAAAACUUCACUGUAUCCACAUGAGAGACUGAGAGUG